Carya illinoinensis is the source of this 431-nucleotide long non-coding RNA. RefSeq lists it as uncharacterized. The transcript is spliced from 2 exons. Lineage: Eukaryota; Viridiplantae; Streptophyta; Magnoliopsida; Fagales; Juglandaceae. The record is from RefSeq and is a predicted model, not a curated record.
UUCUUCAAAUCCAAGUCACUUACGGGUUGAGAGAAAUCCAUAUCGGUCGAAACCAAUAGAUCCGCUAUACGCUUUCAUUGCACAAGCUCUUCCUCUCAGUUUUAGAAACCCUAGCCACUGCCGUUCGAUUUCGCCGUUCGACUUCACCGUUCGUCUUCACUGUCCAAGCCGAUUCACUUGCAAAAUGGUGGAUUAAAAUGGAAUGUAGGUAGUAGCUUUGGAAGCCCAAGGAUGAGUGGAGGUUUUUGAAUUAUAAAGGAUGCAGGGGAAUUUUGUUGUUGCCUUCUCAAACUAUGGAAUUGGUUUUAAUAGGUUUUAAUGGCUUUAACAGUAAUUGUAUAGAAAAAUAUGUUUAUUUUGCAAUUUUUUUAUUGAUAGUUUUGUACUAGUAUUUUGCUCACUCUUUAGUAAUGAAUUGAUAUUGAUUCGUA